Molecule: unclassified non-coding RNA, 311 nt
Filed under: Hevea brasiliensis (rubber tree)
Lineage: Eukaryota; Viridiplantae; Streptophyta; Magnoliopsida; Malpighiales; Euphorbiaceae
Source: RNAcentral
UAUGGAAUUUUCAUCUCUAGGGAAUAUGGGGCAACUGAAAGUUCAAGAUGUGGGUGAAGGUGGUGUAAAGAUCAGGCUUUAUGAAGGGAGAAUAGCUCAGGGCUCGCUUAAAGGGACUCCAGUUGUUUUUAAGGUUUAUCCUGGGCAGCGAGCUGCUGGUGUUGAAGCUGAUAUGAUGGCAGCAAAUGAGCUUAAUACUCAUGCUGUACUUCAGAGUAGUUCAAAAGGUAUCUGUCAGAAUCUCCUGAUACUUGUAGGAGGAUUUGAGACCAAAACCGGGGAACAGUGGCUUGCUUUUCGUAAUGCUGGGG